This 440-nucleotide ribosomal RNA is filed under the name uncultured bacterium. Its description in RNAcentral is "partial 16S ribosomal RNA". It matches the Rfam family "Bacterial small subunit ribosomal RNA", at positions 338 to 795 of the family's 1533-position model. The record is from RNAcentral.
CCUACGGGAGGCAGCAGUGGGGAAUAUUGCACAAUGGGGGGAACCCUGAUGCAGCGACGCCGCGUGAGUGAAGAAGUAUUUCGGUAUGUAAAGCUCUAUCAGCAGGGAAGAAAAUGACGGUACCUGACUAAGAAGCCCCGGCUAACUACGUGCCAGCAGCCGCGGUAAUACGUAGGGGGCAAGCGUUAUCCGGAUUUACUGGGUGUAAGGGGAGCGUAGACGGUUAUGCAAGUCUGAAGUGAAAGGCCAAGGUUCAACCAUGGGACUGCUUUGGAAACUGUAAAACUGGAGUGCAGGAGAGGUAAGCGGAAUUCGUAGUGUAGCGGUGAAAUGCGUAGAUAUUAGGAGGAACACCAGUGGCGAAGGCGGUUUACUGGACUGUAACUGACGUUGAGGCUCGAAGGCGUGGGGAGCAAACAGGAUUAGAUACCCGGGUAGUC